RNAcentral lists this ribosomal RNA (699 nucleotides) under uncultured bacterium. RNAcentral describes it as "bacterial SSU rRNA". It matches the Rfam family "Bacterial small subunit ribosomal RNA", at positions 8 to 743 of the family's 1533-position model. The record is from RNAcentral.
AGAGUUUGAUCCUGGCUCAGAACGAACGCUGGCGGCAGGCCUAACACAUGCAAGUCGAACGUGAAGCCACCUUCGGGUGGUGGAAAGUGGCAGACGGGUGAGUAACGCGUGGGAACGUGCCCUUCGGUUCGGGAUAACCCAGGGAAACUUGGGCUAAUACCGGAUACGCCCUUCGGGGGAAAAAUUUAUUGCCGAAGGAUCGGCCCGCGUCGGAUUAGCUUGUUGGUGGGGUAAAAGCCUACCAAGGCGACGAUCCGUAGCUGGUCUGAGAGGAUGAUCAGCCACACUGGGACUGAGACACGGCCCAGACUCCUACGGGAGGCAGCAGUGGGGAAUAUUGGACAAUGGGCGCAAGCCUGAUCCAGCCAUGCCGCGUGGGUGAAGAAGGCCUUAGGGUUGUAAAUCCCUUUCAGCGGGGAAGAUAAUGACGGUACCCGCAGAAGAAGCCCCGGCUAACUCCGUGCCAGCAGCCGCGGUAAUACGGAGGGGGCUAGCGUUGUUCGGAAUUACUGGGCGUAAAGCGCGCGUAGGCGGACCUGCAAGUCGGGGGUGAAAGCCCGAGGCUCAACCUCGGAACUGCCUUCGAUACUGCGGGUCUUGAGUCCGGGAGAGGUGAGUGGAAUUCCUAGUGUAGAGGUGAAAUUCGUAGAUAUUAGGAAGAACACCAGUGGCGAAGGCGGCCCACUGGCCCGGUACUGA